CCCUGCUGUGAUCCUGCCCGGUUCCUCGUGCAGGGUCGGGCCAGGGCAGUACUGGUGGGAGAGUCGGAGGAAAGUCCAGGUACUGCAGGGA
RNAcentral lists this ribosomal RNA (91 nucleotides) under Chelonoidis abingdonii (Abingdon island giant tortoise). Lineage: Eukaryota; Metazoa; Chordata; Testudines; Testudinidae. The record is from RNAcentral.